UCCCAAACCCCUGUGAACAUACCUUUAUGUUGCCUCGGCGGAUCAGCCCGCGCCCCGUAAAACGGGACGGCCCGCCGCAGGAAACCCUAAACUCUGUUUUUAGUGGAACUUCUGAGUAUAAAAAACAAAUAAAUCAAAACUUUCAACAACGGAUCUCUUGGUUCUGGCAUCGAUGAAGAACGCAGCAAAAUGCGAUAAGUAAUGUGAAUUGCAGAAUUCAGUGAAUCAUCGAAUCUUUGAACGCACAUUGCGCCCGCCAGUAUUCUGGCGGGCAUGCCUGUUCGAGCGUCAUUUCAACCCUCAAGCCCAGCUUGGUGUUGGGAUCUGUCCUUACCGACAGUCCCCAAAUUGAUUGGCGGUCACGUCGAGCUUCCAUAGCGUAGUAAUUUACACAUCGUUACUGGUAAUCGUCGCGGCCACGCCGUUAAACCCCAACUUCUGAAUGUUGACCUCGGAUCAGGUAGGAAUACCCGCUGAACUUAAGCAUAUCAAUAAGCGGAGGAAAAGAAACCAACAGGGAUUGCCCUAGUAACGGCGAGUGAAGCGGCAACAGCUCAAAUUUGAAAUCUGGCUCUCGGGCCCGAGUUGUAAUUUGUAGAGGAUGACUUUGAUGCGGUGCCUUCCGAGUUCCCUGGAACGGGACGCCAUAGAGGGUGAGAGCCCCGUCUGGUUGGAUGCCAAAUCUCUGUAAGUCUCCUUCGACGAGUCGAGUAGUUUGGGAAUGCUGCUCUAAAUGGGAGGUAUAUGUCUUCUAAAGCUAAAUACCGGCCAGAGACCGAUAGCGCACAAGUAGAGUGAUCGAAAGAUGAAAAGCACUUUGAAAAGAGAGUUAAAAAGUACGUGAAAUUGUUGAAAGGGAAGCGUUUAUGACCAGACUUGGGCUUGGUUAAUCAUCUGGGGUUCUCCCCAGUGCACUUUUCCAGUCCAGGCCAGCAUCAGUUUUCGCCGGGGGAUAAAGACUUCGGGAAUGUGGCUCCCCUCGGGGAGUGUUAUAGCCCGUUGUGUAAUACCCUGGCGGGGAC
RNAcentral lists this ribosomal RNA (1022 nucleotides) under Fusarium langsethiae. RNAcentral describes it as "eukaryotic LSU rRNA". The stretch from base 447 to 1022 matches the Rfam family "Eukaryotic large subunit ribosomal RNA", at positions 1 to 588 of the family's 3401-position model. The record is from RNAcentral. Lineage: Eukaryota; Fungi; Ascomycota; Sordariomycetes; Hypocreales; Nectriaceae.